CAGGGUAUGCCUCAGUAACGGCGAGUGAAGCGGCAUCAGCCCAAUUUUGAAAGCCUCCGGGCGUUGUAGUGGCGGCAAAGACACACCGGCAAGUCCCUUGGAACAGGGCGCCUCAGAGGGUGACAGCCCCGUACGGUUUUGUCUGCUAAUUGCCGCCGGGCGAGUCGAGUUGUUUGGGAAUGCAGCUCAAACGGGUGGUAAACUCCAUCCAAGGCUAAAUACCGGCGAGAGACCGAUAGCGAACAAGUACAGUGAUGGAAAGAUGAAAAGCACUUUGAAAAGAGAGUGAAAAAGUACGUGAAAUUGGUGUGAGGGAAGGGGGCGGGGGGAAGUAGG
Molecule: ribosomal RNA, 336 nt
Filed under: Metschnikowia sp. (in: budding yeasts & allies)
Lineage: Eukaryota; Fungi; Ascomycota; Pichiomycetes; Serinales; Metschnikowiaceae
Description: LSU rRNA
Rfam family: Eukaryotic large subunit ribosomal RNA
Source: RNAcentral